Molecule: ribosomal RNA, 253 nt
Filed under: uncultured bacterium
Lineage: Bacteria
Description: partial 16S ribosomal RNA
Rfam family: Bacterial small subunit ribosomal RNA
Source: RNAcentral
UACAGAGGUCUCAAGCGUUGUUCGGAUUCAUUGGGCGUAAAGGGUGCGUAGGCGGCGCGGUAAGUCGGGUGUGAAAUUUCGAGGCUUAACUUCGAAACUGCAUUCGAUACUGCCGUGCUUGAGGACUGGAGAGGAGACUGGGAUUUACGGUGUAGCGGUGAAAUGCGUAGAUAUCGUAAGGAAGACCAGUGGCGAAGGCGGGUCUCUGGACAGUUCCUGACGCUGAGGCACGAAGGCCAGGGGAGCAAACGGG